Microtus ochrogaster (prairie vole) is the source of this 103-nucleotide small nuclear RNA. The record is from Ensembl. NCBI's taxonomy places the organism in Eukaryota, Metazoa, Chordata, Mammalia, Rodentia, Cricetidae.
UUAAAUUCGGCAGCACAUGUACUAAAACUGCAACAAUCCAGAGAAGAUUAACAUGACCCCUGUGCAAGAACGACAUGCAAAUCAUGGACCAUUCCAUUUUUUU